Molecule: ribosomal RNA, 810 nt
Filed under: uncultured bacterium
Lineage: Bacteria
Description: bacterial SSU rRNA
Rfam family: Bacterial small subunit ribosomal RNA
Source: RNAcentral
AGAGUUUGAUCCUGGCUCAGAACGAACGCUGGCGGCGUGGAUAAGACAUGCAAGUCGAGCGGGAACUUUUUUGGUAGCAAUACUAGAAAAGUUCUAGCGGCGAACGGGUGCGUAACACGUGGACAAUCUGCCUUAAAGUGGGGGAUAGCUCGGCGAAAGCCGAAUUAAUACCGCAUGUGAUGAGGGAAGACAUCUUUCCGAAAUCAAAGCCGGGGCAACCUGGCGCUUUUUGAGGGGUCCGCGGCCUAUCAGCUAGUUGGUGAGGUAACGGCUCACCAAGGCUAUGACGGGUAGCUGGUCUGAGAGGACGACCAGUCACACUGGAACUGAGACACGGUCCAGACACCUACGGGUGGCAGCAGUCGAGAAUUUUUGACAAUGGGGGAAACCCUGAUCGAGCGACGCCGCGUGGAGGAUGAAGGUCUUCGGGUUGUAAACUCCUGUCAUUUGAGAACAAAUUGGACGCAGUAACUACGCGUCCACUGAUAGUAUCAGAAGAGGAAGGGACGGCUAACUCUGUGCCAGCAGCCGCGGUAAUACAGAGGUCUCAAGCGUUGUUCGGAUUCAUUGGGCGUAAAGGGUGUGUAGGUGGCGCCGUAAGUCGGGUGUGAAAUCUCGGGGCUUAACUCCGAAACUGCAUUCGAUACUGCGGUGCUUGAGGACUGGAGAGGAGACUGGAAUUCAUGGUGUAGCAGUGAAAUGCGUAGAGAUCAUGAGGAAGACCAGUGGCGAAGGCGGGUCUCUGGACAGUUCCUGACACUGAGACACGAAGGCCAGGGGAGCAAACGGGAUUAGAUACCCCGGUAGUCC